CUUAUAUUUAUUAAGAGUGACGGGCGAUAUGUGCAUAAUAAAUUUCUUUUUCAAUUUUAAUUUCUUUUUUUCAAUUUUAAUUUUAAGUCCUAUUUUUUAAAUAUUUCUUAUUAUUUUCCAUUUUGUUAUAAUUGUAUCCCAUUAUUACUUUUUAAUUGUCUUUGUAUUGAUUUGUUUUUUGAUUUUUUUAAUUUGUUAAAAUUAAAAGGUUUUUAUUUUUUAAAACAAUAAUAUAAAAGAUUAAAUAAUAAGUCAAUUUUAUCGUGGGUUAUCGAUUACAACACAGGAUCCCCUAAUUUGAUUUAUUACCGCCAUUUCAAUUAGAUUUUUCUUUUUUUAGAUACUUUCUGUUUUUUCUAUUUAAAA
This 366-nucleotide ribosomal RNA is filed under the name Tegolophus sp. AH34. RNAcentral's name for it is "partial small subunit ribosomal RNA". The record is from RNAcentral. Lineage: Eukaryota; Metazoa; Arthropoda; Arachnida; Trombidiformes; Eriophyidae.